GAUGAACGCUAGCUACAGGCUUAACACAUGCAAGUCGAGGGGAAACGACAUCGAAAGCUUGCUUUUGGUGGGCGUCGACCGGCGCACGGGUGAGUAACGCGUAUCCAACCUGCCCACCACUUGGGGAUAACCUUGCGAAAGUAAGACUAAUACCCAAUGAUAUCCCACGAAGGCAUCCGAAUGGGAUUAAAGAUUUAUCGGUGAUGGAUGGGGAUGCGUCUGAUUAGCUUGUUGGCGGGGUAACGGCCCACCAAGGCAACGAUCAGUAGGGGUUCUGAGAGGAAGGUCCCCCCACAUUGGAACUGAGACACGGUCCAAACUCCUACGGGAGGCAGCAGUGAGGAAUAUUGGUCAAUGGGCGAGAGCCUGAACCAGCCAAGUAGCGUGCAGGACGACGGCCCUAUGGGUUGUAAACUGCUUUUAUAAGGGAAUAAAGUGGGUCACGUGUGACUUUUUGCAUGUACCUUAUGAAUAAGGACCGGCUAAUUCCGUG
Molecule: ribosomal RNA, 493 nt
Filed under: uncultured bacterium
Lineage: Bacteria
Description: bacterial SSU rRNA
Rfam family: Bacterial small subunit ribosomal RNA
Source: RNAcentral